UACCACAGCCAUAUCACCCAGCAGCCCAAGACUGGUAACUCGCUGAAGCUUAGCAGGGCUAAGUCUGGUUAGUAUCUGGAUGGAAGACCACAUAGGAAAACUAGGUUGCUGUUGAAA
RNAcentral lists this ribosomal RNA (117 nucleotides) under Danio rerio (zebrafish). The record is from RNAcentral. Lineage: Eukaryota; Metazoa; Chordata; Actinopteri; Cypriniformes; Danionidae.